GGCAGUUCUCCAGUGAUGCACCCUAGAAUUGGGCUCCCUCAUCUCUGGUUCCAGGUGCAUCACCCAAGAACCACA
Non-coding RNA from Myotis brandtii (Brandt's bat), 75 nucleotides. The record is from Rfam. NCBI's taxonomy places the organism in Eukaryota, Metazoa, Chordata, Mammalia, Chiroptera, Vespertilionidae.